GACGAACGCUGGCGGCGUGCUUAACACAUGCAAGUCGAACGGAAAGGCCCUGCUUGCAGGGUACUCGAGUGGCGAACGGGUGAGUAACACGUGGGUGAUCUGCCCUGCACUUCGGGAUAAGCCUGGGAAACUGGGUCUAAUACCGGAUAGGAGCCAUUUUUAGUGUGAUGGUUGGAAAGUUUUUUCGGUGUAGGAUGAGCUCGCGGCCUAUCAGCUUGUUGGUGGGGUAAUGGCCUACCAAGGCGGCGACGGGUAGCCGGCCUGAGAGGGUGGACGGCCACAUUGGGACUGAGAUACGGCCCAGACUCCUACGGGAGGCAGCAGUGGGGAAUAUUGCACAAUGGGCGCAAGCCUGAUGCAGCGACGCCGCGUGGGGGAUGACGGCCUUCGGGUUGUAAACUCCUUUCGCUAGGGACGAAGCUUUUUGUGACGGUACCUAGAUAAGAAGCACGGGCUAACUACGUG
This 465-nucleotide ribosomal RNA is filed under the name uncultured bacterium. RNAcentral's name for it is "partial 16S ribosomal RNA". It matches the Rfam family "Bacterial small subunit ribosomal RNA", at positions 28 to 507 of the family's 1533-position model. The record is from RNAcentral.